GUGCUCCCUUCGGCAGCACAUAUACUAAAAUUGGGACGAUAUGGAGAUUAGCAUGGCCCCUGCACAAGGAUGACAUGCAAAAUCGUGAGGCAUUUCAUAUUUUU
This is a small nuclear RNA of Erinaceus europaeus (western European hedgehog), 104 nucleotides long. The record is from Ensembl. Lineage: Eukaryota; Metazoa; Chordata; Mammalia; Eulipotyphla; Erinaceidae.